GAUGAACGCUGGCGGCGUGCCUAAUACAUGCAAGUCGAGCGAACAGAUGAGGAGCUUGCUCCUCUGACGUUAGCGGCGGACGGGUGAGUAACACGUGGAUAACCUACCUAUAGGACUGGGAUAAAUUCGGGAAACCGGAGCUAAUACCGGAUAAUAUAUUGAACCGCAUGGUUCAAUAGUGAAAGACGGUUUUGCUGUCACUUAUAGAUGGAUCCGCGCCGCAUUAGCUAGUUGGUAAGGUAACGGCUUACCAAGGCAACGAUGCGUAGCCGACCUGAGAGGGUGAUCGGCCACACUGGAACUGAGACACGGUCCAGACUCCUACGGGAGGCAGCAGUAGGGAAUCUUCCGCAAUGGGCGAAAGCCUGACGGAGCAACGCCGCGUGAGUGAUGAAGGUCUUCGGAUCGUAAAACUCUGUUAUUAGGGAAGAACAAAUGUGUAAGUAACUAUGCACGUCUUGACGGUACCUAAUCAGAAAGCCACGGCUAACUACGUG
Molecule: ribosomal RNA, 497 nt
Filed under: uncultured bacterium
Lineage: Bacteria
Description: partial 16S ribosomal RNA
Rfam family: Bacterial small subunit ribosomal RNA
Source: RNAcentral